CAGAAGAAGAAACAGAUCUCCUAUGGUUUCUUAUCGUACUCGAUGAACGCUUUUGUACAAGCUCCUCUUAAUCGGUGACUCUGAGUUUGUUGAUUAGAAGCAACCUCUGCCGGACGGUUGUUGAGGAGAUGGAAAUGUGAAAGGUGAUACCAGGUGUGUUGAUAGGUGAUACCAGUACAAAAGUUUAGGACAUCACCAAGAUCUCCCGUCAUCUCAAUUUGAGCAAUUAAACGUAGUUUUGUUAAUCACUAUCGGUGUUUUAAUUACUAGCAGUGCUUAAAAAGUUUUUCAUCAGCUGUU
Long non-coding RNA from Helianthus annuus (common sunflower), 300 nucleotides. RefSeq lists it as uncharacterized. Lineage: Eukaryota; Viridiplantae; Streptophyta; Magnoliopsida; Asterales; Asteraceae. The record is from RefSeq and is a predicted model, not a curated record. The transcript is spliced from 3 exons.